Ictalurus punctatus (channel catfish) is the source of this 694-nucleotide long non-coding RNA. Lineage: Eukaryota; Metazoa; Chordata; Actinopteri; Siluriformes; Ictaluridae. The record is from Ensembl.
GUGGAUAGUCAUUAGUGCGUAUAAAUAACUGUGUGUGGGUGAAUGAGUGGUUAUGCGUACGUGUGUGUGUGUGUGUGUGUGUGUGUGUGUGUGUGUGUGUAUACUGUAAAUGUUCUUCGGUGACGAUAAAUAGAACCAAAAGUAUUUUGAUGAUUAUCAUGAUAUGGGAUAUGGGCCAGAUCUUCUAACGUACUAACUAAACCCACAGCCUGGCAUUGUUCUACUAAAUAGAACCUGGAAACUUGUGACUAAGAAAGAAAACAGAGGUAUUAAGCUCUGUAUGAUCUAAGUGGCAUUAUGGAGAGUCUUCAAAACAAAUACCUGGGUAAUGAUGAUGCCUGCAGAAACUUUCAUGCCGAAUGUCCGAGGCAUAGCAACAAAUGCAUAGUAACAACGUACACAAGGAGGACGCUCCAGACCAGGACCCUUUAGCCCCUCCUCCCUUUUGCUUCCAUAUCACCUGACUGUGUUUCAGCUUCAUGAUGCCUCUGUGACUCAUGCGUGAUGGCUGGAAACAAACUCAGCUAGUGGAACAAGUCGGCCCCAGUCAGAGACGCUGGGACUUUCCAGUCGAGCCAAGCUUUCGUUCAUUUGGACUGACCCGUGCAAAUAUUUCUCUGUGCAUAAAAAACAAAAAGAUCAAACCCAUACUGCACUCUUUCAUGAUUUUUGUGUUGCAUUAUUGAACUCAGAC